GUCAUGGCUGCCUAAAAUGCAUCCAAACAUUCAGUAUCUCCUCCCUCUGCAUGCAGACACUGAACUUUCCUCAUAGAGAUUCAUUGAUUCAAUUAAUCUCUAUGAGGAGAUGCUGAUUGGCCAGGGUUGUGUUGCAAUUGUGCUGGCUCUGCCCCUGAUCUGCCUCUUUGUCAGUCUCAGCCAAUCCUAUGGGGAAGCACUGUGAUUGGAUCAGGCUACCACCUCUGAUGAUGUCAGCAGACUACUUGUUUUUUUUUAGGCAAACAGCAUGCAGAGCUACAGCUUCAGGCUUGAAUACAGUAAGAUUUUGCUAUAU
Molecule: long non-coding RNA, 316 nt
Filed under: Pelobates cultripes (western spadefoot toad)
Lineage: Eukaryota; Metazoa; Chordata; Amphibia; Anura; Pelobatidae
Source: RNAcentral